GAUGAACGCUAGCGGCAGGCCUAAUACAUGCAAGACGAACGGUAAGUUGAGUAGCAAUACUUAGCCAAGAGUGUCGUACGGGUGCGUAACACGUAUACAACCUACCCUAUACAGGAGGAUAGCCUAGGGAAACCUGGAUUAACCCUUCAUAGUAUUAUUGGAUGGCAUCAUUUGAUAAUUAAAACUGAGGUGGUAUAGGAUGGGCAUGCGUCUGAUUAGUUAGUUGGCGGGGUAAUGGCCCACCAAGACGAUGAUCAGUAGGGGUUCUGAGAGGAAGAUCCCCCCACACUGGCACUGAGAUACGGGCCAGACUCCUACGGGAGGCAGCAGUAGGGAAUAUUGGUCAAUGGAUGCAAGUCUGAACCAGCCAUGCCGCGUGCAGGAAGAAGGCCCUUCUGGGGUUGUAAACUGCUUUUUGCCAGGGGAUAAAAUUUCCAUGCGUGGAAAACUGAAGGUACCUGGUGAAUAAGCCACGGCUAACUACGUGCCAGCAGCCGCGGUAAU
This 504-nucleotide ribosomal RNA is filed under the name uncultured bacterium. Its description in RNAcentral is "bacterial SSU rRNA". It matches the Rfam family "Bacterial small subunit ribosomal RNA", at positions 28 to 524 of the family's 1533-position model. The record is from RNAcentral.